RNAcentral lists this ribosomal RNA (643 nucleotides) under uncultured bacterium. Its description in RNAcentral is "bacterial SSU rRNA". It matches the Rfam family "Bacterial small subunit ribosomal RNA", at positions 350 to 985 of the family's 1533-position model. The record is from RNAcentral.
AGCAGUGGGGAAUAUUGCACAAUGGGCGCAAGCCUGAUGCAGCCAUGCCGCGUGUAUGAAGAAGGCCUUCGGGUUGUAAAGUACUUUCAGUCGUGAAGAAGGUGUUAGGGUUAAUAACCUUAGCAAUUGACGUUAGCGACAUAAGAAGCACCGGCUAACUCCGUGCCAGCAGCCGCGGUAAUACGGAGGGUGCGAGCGUUAAUCGGAAUUACUGGGCGUAAAGGGCACGCAGGCGGUUAGUUAAGUUGGAUGUGAAAUCCCUGGGCUUAACCUAGGAAUGGCAUUCAAAACUGGUUAGCUAGAGUCUUGUAGAGGAGGGUAGAAUUCCAUGUGUAGCGGUGAAAUGCGUAGAGAUGUGGAGGAAUACCGGUGGCGAAGGCGGCUCUCUGGACAAAGACUGACGCUCAUGUGCGAAAGCGUGGGGAGCAAACAGGAUUAGAUACCUUGGUAGUCCACGCUGUAAACGAUGUCGAUUUGGAGGUUGUGGUCAUGAAUUGUAGCCUUCGGAGCUAACGCGUUAAAUUGACCGCCUGGGGAGUACGGCCGCAAGGUUAAAACUCAAAUGAAUUGACGGGGGCCCGCACAAGCGGUGGAGCAUGUGGUUUAAUUCGAUGCAACGCGAAGAACCUUACCUACUCUUGAC